This 480-nucleotide ribosomal RNA is filed under the name uncultured Saprospiraceae bacterium. RNAcentral's name for it is "bacterial SSU rRNA". It matches the Rfam family "Bacterial small subunit ribosomal RNA", at positions 28 to 505 of the family's 1533-position model. The record is from RNAcentral. Lineage: Bacteria; Pseudomonadati; Bacteroidota; Saprospiria; Saprospirales; Saprospiraceae.
GAUGAACGCUAGCGGGAGGCUUAAUACAUGCAAGUCGAGGGAGAAAUUUGACUUCGGUCAAACGGAAACCGGCGAACGGGUGAGUAACGCGUACACAACCUACCUUUAACUGGGGGAUAGCCUUGGGAAACUGAGAUUAAUACCCCAUAAUAUUGAUCGAUUGCAUAUGAAGUCAAUUAAAGUUCCGGCGGUUAAAGAUGGGUGUGCGUUCCAUUAGCUAGUUGGUGAGGUAACGGCUCACAAAGGCGACGAUGGAUAGGGGGCGUGAGAGCGUGAUCCCCCACACGGGUACUGAGACACGGACCCGACUCCUACGGGAGGCAGCAGUAAGGAAUAUUGGACAAUGGGCGCAAGCCUGAUCCAGCCAUCCCGCGUGCAGGAAGACGGCCCUACGGGUUGUAAACUGCUUUUGUAAGGGAAGAAACCCCUCGAUUUAUCGGGGGCUGACGGUACCUUAAGAAUAAGCACCGGCUAACUCCG